GGGGAAGGCUGGCGGCGUGCUUACACAUGCAAGUCGUACGAUGAUCUCCAGCUUGCUGGGGGGAUUAGUGGCGAACGGGUGAGUAACACGUGAGUAACCUGCCCUUGACUCUGGGAUAAGCCUGGGAAACUGGGUCUAAUACCGGAUAUGACCAUUCCACGCAUGUGGUGGUGGUGGAAAGCUUUUGCGGUUUUGGAUGGACUCGCGGCCUAUCAGCUUGUUGGUGGGGUAAUGGCCUACCAAGGCGACGACGGGUAGCCGGCCUGAGAGGGUGACCGGCCACACUGGGACUGAGACACGGCCCAGACUCCUACGGGAGGCAGCAGUGGGGAAUAUUGCACAAUGGGCGGAAGCCUGAUGCAGCGACGCCGCGUGAGGGAUGACGGCCUUCGGGUUGUAAACCUCUUUCAGUAGGGAAGAAGCGUAAGUGACGGUACCUGCAGAAGAAGCGCCGGCUAACUACGUGCCAGCAGCCGCGGUAAUACGUAGGGCGCAAGCGUUAUCCGGAAUUAUUGGGCGUAAAGAGCUCGUAGGCGGUUUGUCGCGUCUGCUGUGAAAGACCGGGGCUCACUCCGGUUCUGCAGUGGUACGGGCAGACUAGAGUGCAGUAGGGGAGACUGGAAUUCCUGGUGUAGCGGUGAAUGCGCAGAUAUCAGGAGGAACACCGAUGGCGAAGGCAGUCUCUGGCUGUACUGACGCUGAGGAGCGAAGCAUGGGGAGCGACAGAUAAAUACCCUGUAGUCAUGCGUAACGUGGCCUAGGGGGGGGAAUCCGUUCCGCCGGACUACCAUAGGGCCGCUGGGGUCGCCAAGCUAACCAGAAUGGGGCCGCAGGGGACGGGUAUCUGCGGGACUUCAGUG
This 860-nucleotide ribosomal RNA is filed under the name Arthrobacter sp. SWAU1. RNAcentral's name for it is "bacterial SSU rRNA". It matches the Rfam family "Bacterial small subunit ribosomal RNA", at positions 28 to 873 of the family's 1533-position model. The record is from RNAcentral. Lineage: Bacteria; Bacillati; Actinomycetota; Actinomycetes; Micrococcales; Micrococcaceae.